AUGCAGCUGACGAGUCUCAAAUAGGACGAAAUGUGCGUCCUGGAU
RNAcentral lists this non-coding RNA (45 nucleotides) under Schistosoma mattheei. The record is from RNAcentral. Lineage: Eukaryota; Metazoa; Platyhelminthes; Trematoda; Strigeidida; Schistosomatidae.